RNAcentral lists this ribosomal RNA (486 nucleotides) under uncultured bacterium. RNAcentral's name for it is "bacterial SSU rRNA". It matches the Rfam family "Bacterial small subunit ribosomal RNA", at positions 501 to 987 of the family's 1533-position model. The record is from RNAcentral.
CUACGUGCCAGCAGCCGCGGUAAUACGUAGGGUGCGAGCGUUAAUCGGAAUUACUGGGCGUAAAGCGGGCGCAGACGGUUACUUAAGCAGGAUGUGAAAUCCCCGGGCUUAACCUGGGAACUGCAUUGGUGACUGCAAGGCUAGAGUGUGUCAGAGGGAGGUGGAAUUCCGCAUGUAGCAGUGAAAUGCGUAGAUAUGCGGAGGAACACCGAUGGCGAAGGCAGCCUCCUGGGAUAACACUGACGCUCAUGCACGAAAGCGUGGGGAGCAAACAGGAUUAGAUACCCUGGUAGUCCACGCCCUAAACGAUGUCUACUAGUUGCCGGGGAUUAAUUUCCUUGGUAACGCAGCUAACGCGUGAAGUAGACCGCCUGGGGAGUACGGUCGCAAGAUUAAAACUCAAAGGAAUUGACGGGGACCCGCACAAGCGGUGGAUGAUGUGGAUUAAUUCGAUGCAACGCGAAAAACCUUACCUACGCUUGACAU